Molecule: non-coding RNA, 172 nt
Filed under: Ricinus communis (castor bean)
Lineage: Eukaryota; Viridiplantae; Streptophyta; Magnoliopsida; Malpighiales; Euphorbiaceae
Description: Eukaryotic large subunit ribosomal RNA
Rfam family: Eukaryotic large subunit ribosomal RNA
Source: Rfam by way of RNAcentral
UAAGCCCUCGCGGCGGACGAGCCGCGCGGGCCGCCUUGAAUUACAAUUUCCACCCGGGCGGCGGACUGAAUCCUUUGCAGACGACUUAAAUACGCGACGGGGUAUUGUAAGUGGCAGAGUGGCCUUGCUGCCACGAUCCACUGAGAUUCAGCCCUUCGUCGCUCCGAUUCGU